GUGACGUGAUGAACUUGUUUAUCCAUUCUCUGAGUGCUGCUGGCCUGCUCUCCGCAGCGCCCCUGUCUGUUCUGGACCUGGGCGUUUGGCUCCUCCCCCACUGCGAGCAUCCAGUGUUCUACUGGCUGUCCUGUGGCUGGGGGCGUGGUCAGGGCGGGGCUUGUGGGCGUGGCAACCGCAAAGACGAGUGUAAACUCCUGAUCGC
Conger conger (European conger) is the source of this 205-nucleotide small nucleolar RNA. RefSeq annotates it as small nucleolar RNA SNORD17. The record is from RefSeq and is a predicted model, not a curated record. The transcript has a single exon. NCBI's taxonomy places the organism in Eukaryota, Metazoa, Chordata, Actinopteri, Anguilliformes, Congridae.